RNAcentral lists this ribosomal RNA (420 nucleotides) under uncultured bacterium. RNAcentral's name for it is "partial 16S ribosomal RNA". It matches the Rfam family "Bacterial small subunit ribosomal RNA", at positions 360 to 772 of the family's 1533-position model. The record is from RNAcentral.
AAUAUUGGACAAUGGGCGAAAGCCUGAUCCAGCCAUGCCGCGAGUGUGAAGAAUGUCUUCGGUUUGUAAAGCACUUUCAUUAGGGAGGAAGGGCAGUAAGUUAAUACCUUGCUGUUUUGACGUUACCGCCAGAAUAAGUACUGACUAACUCCGUACCAUCAGCCGCGGUAAUACGAAGGGUGCAAGCGUUAACCGGAAUUACUGGGCGUAAAGCGCGCGUAGGUGGUUUGUUAAGUUGGAAGUGAAAGCCCCGGGCUCAACCUGGGAACUGCUUUCAAAACUGGCAAGCUAGAGUAUGGCAGAGGGUGGUGGAAUUUCCUGUGUAGCGGUGAAAUGCGUAGAUAUAGGAAGGAACACCAGUGGCGAAGGCGACUACCUGGACUGAUACUGACACUGAGGUGCGAAAGCGUGGGGAGCAAA